UUCCAUGGAGUUUUUAGGUGCACCAGUUUCUUCCUCUGUUUCCAAAUUCUGUUCUUCACAUUGCACUAAAUUAAUUACCAAUGGAUCAACUUAAAUCUGGCCCAAAACCUGCCUUAAACUCUCCCUUUUUGCAAAUUCUGCUAGACAACAACUCAAGAUUUAUAGUGGAAAGAUUAGUGGAGUUCAACUUCAACAUUUUAUGGCUGUCAACGAUUAGGGCAUUGCGCAAUCAUGAUUAUGCACCUGAUGAACUUCCACAUUCUAAUUCAAACUGGAAUAAGAAGCUAAUUGUUAUUGCUUGUCCGACAGUUACUAGAGAAGAUUCCCAUUUCCACCGAAGCAAUAAUAGAAAUUGAAAAACCAUACACCGCCAUAGCCGUGGUGGCGCCGCCACGUGGUGAAUUUAACAGGUGAGUCAGUGGUCGAAAACACCUGUGUCAUGGGAUUCAAGUGCAAGUAUGGGACGCCAUUACCAAGAUCAGCACAAUCAUCAACCCUCAGAAGCUUGACAAGUCCAAAGUCAUUGUUUUCUUUGUCUAUGGAUUCAGGGUCUGCCAAUGGAAUCGUGUUUGAGAGACCAAUCAAAGGUAGAGUUAUAUUUGGAAGGUGAUUUCGCCGGUGGUAAAUAGUGGGGAGUGAUGGAUAGUGGCGGCAGCAGCCAGCUUUCAUGUUGUAGUUAGGAUGAAUAUUGAAACUUUACAGAGAUUAUAACUACAGGGAUAAGUGAAAAAAUUGAUUAG
This 740-nucleotide long non-coding RNA is filed under the name Olea europaea (common olive). RNAcentral's name for it is "long non-coding RNA (OEUR_LNC008010)". The record is from RNAcentral. Lineage: Eukaryota; Viridiplantae; Streptophyta; Magnoliopsida; Lamiales; Oleaceae.